Molecule: ribosomal RNA, 454 nt
Filed under: uncultured bacterium
Lineage: Bacteria
Description: partial 16S ribosomal RNA
Rfam family: Bacterial small subunit ribosomal RNA
Source: RNAcentral
GAUGAACGCUGACAGCAUGCUUAACACAUGCAAGUCUACUUGAACUUCGGUUUGGGUGGCGGACGGGUGAGUAACGCGUAAAGAACUUGCCUCACAGUUAGGGACAACAUUUGGAAACGAAUGCUAAUACCUGAUAUUAUGAUUUUAGGGCAUCCUAGGUUUAUGAAAGCUAUAUGUGCUGUGAGAGAGCUUUGCGUCCCAUUAGCUGGUUGGAGGGGUAACGGCUCACCAAGGCGAUGAUGGGUAGCCGGCCUGAGAGGGUGAACGGCCAAAAGGGGACGGGGACACGGCCCUUACUCCUACGGGAGGCAGCGUGGGGGAAUAUUGGACAAGGGACCAAAAGUCUGGUCCAGCAAUUCUGUGUGCACGAUGACGUUUUUCGGAAUGUAAAGUGCUUUCAGUUGAGAAGAAAAAAAUGACGGUACCAACAGAAGAAGAGACGGCUAAAUACGUG